This 326-nucleotide long non-coding RNA is filed under the name Elaeis guineensis (African oil palm). RNAcentral describes it as "long non-coding RNA (EGUI_LNC073389)". Lineage: Eukaryota; Viridiplantae; Streptophyta; Magnoliopsida; Arecales; Arecaceae. The record is from RNAcentral.
CCAUCCACUAUAGAAGUUCGGACGGAGUCCGGCUCUUAUAGGAGCUCGGAUGAAAUUCACUUGCAAUAGAAGUUCGGAGCAGAGUCGAUCGUGGCUGGAAGAAGUCUGGAAGAGAUUCGAAGAAUAGUCGAUCACUGUAGAAAAUCGACUGAUAGUGAAGCUCAGAGAGCGUUUGGAGCAGUCCGGUAGAUGAAUGGAGGAGCUCAUUAUAGAAGAAGUCCGAAUGGUAUUAUGGAAGCUCAAACAGUUAGGGGAGUUCAGAAAGACGCUGCAUAAGGUCGGAAGCCGGAAGAGCCCUGAGAGGGUCGGCCUUUUACGAACUUCGG